Molecule: ribosomal RNA, 462 nt
Filed under: uncultured bacterium
Lineage: Bacteria
Description: partial 16S ribosomal RNA
Rfam family: Bacterial small subunit ribosomal RNA
Source: RNAcentral
CCUACGGGGGGCAGCAGUGAGGAAUAUUGGUCAAUGGACGCAAGUCUGAACCAGCCACGUAGCGUGCAGGAUGACGGCCCUCCGGGUUGUAAACUGCUUUUAGUUGGGAGUAAAAGGGGGCUCGUGAGCCCCGUAUUGUAUGUACCAUCAGAAAAAGGACCGGCUAAUUCCGUGCCAGCAGCCGCGGUAAUACGGAGGGUCCGAGCGUUAUCCGGAUUUAUUGGGUUUAAAGGGCGCGUAGGCCGGUUGUCAAGUCAGCUGUGAAAGUCGGGGGCUUAACCGUAGAAGUGCCGUUGAAACUGGAAGCCUAGAGUGCAGACGGGGAAGGUGGAAUUCAUGGUGUAGCGGUGAAAUGCGUAGAGAUCAUGAAGAACACCGAUUGCGAAGGCGAGUGUCCGGAGUAUAACUGACGCUGAGGCUCGAAAGUGCGGGGAGCAAACAGGAUUAGAUACCCCAGUAGUC